Gymnodraco acuticeps is the source of this 1570-nucleotide long non-coding RNA. RefSeq lists it as uncharacterized. The record is from RefSeq and is a predicted model, not a curated record. The transcript is spliced from 3 exons. NCBI's taxonomy places the organism in Eukaryota, Metazoa, Chordata, Actinopteri, Perciformes, Bathydraconidae.
GGAUUUUUUGUCAAAGCACCUCAGAUAUUCAUUGUUAUCGGGAUGUUAAGAGCAUUCCAUGGAAUAUAACAAGUGUAUCUCGAGCCGGUUUCUCAAACUUACCUACCCCACCUUUAAGUGUUAUUUACAGAAAUUGAAAUGUAGAUGCAGGGUUGGGGACAGCUACUUCCCAAUAGAAAGUACCCUAUAAAUGAUGUGUUUGUAUAUAUUAAGCUUAUCACUAUCUAAUGUAAUGCCUUAUCUUUAAAUAUAUAUACGAUGGCCGGCAGGUGCAAACGCGGAACAACGGCCCAAAACGCACACAUAAGCAGGAAACAGCUGCAAAUAAUGAAAUGAAAAACAAACAAACCCCGAAAACAAACGCAACAGAAAAACGCUGCAAAUACAAAAACACAUACAAACCCAAAAACACAGUGCUCCAGGCCUCUAGGGGGCGCGCUACGUGGAACAGAUGGAUGUCUGACCAGACGGACAUAGAGAGAACGAACGAGAGUGAUGGAAAUUGAAGCCGGAGGAAACAAAGUUGAUUGAAGUGGACAAAGUCCAUAUAUAAGAAGGAGCAAUUUGGGGUGAAGUGUCUCAAGGACACAACGACAUACUGACUGCAGUGGGGUUUGAACCUGUGACCCCCUGAUCCCAACACCAAGGAAGUGAUCAAAUGUGAAGACAUGCUCAAGAACAAAUAUAGAGAAGACAUUCAAGGAGAGAGACAGACAAAACACAGAUUCAACGGCAUUCCAUAAGGAGGGUCAGGAACUCACGCUUGGGACCACCAGUGUCCCUCCAUCCUCAGUGUGUCCCUCAUCAUCAGUGAACUUAACUGACAUCUCAUGAGAGGGGUCGAAUGAGGCACCUUUGAAGCCGCGGAUUGCUCCAUCCCACACAUUGGCUCUUAAUAUUGAACCUGCUGCAAGAUGUAUUUGUUAUUUUUGCAGAGAGUUCUGCAACAAUGUCCUCCGCAGUCAGGUGUUCUGUGUGAUGUAUUGUAAUAUUAAAUGAUGAAGCUAGUAAUAAGAUGUAUAGAAUAGAACAAUUAAGUGGUAAUAGUAACAAUUAAUACCUUUCCUCUGCAGUUUGCUCCAUUGUGUCUUCUGGCUCAGACUGGCUAUCAAUAAUGAUAAGUGCAUACAGAUUUGUGUAGUUGCUGCAGUGAGAAGACAGUUGAAUAAUGACUUUCAAAUACAUAAUAUAUGCAUGACAGUCAUAUUUACAAAAGGAUGUCGAUCCUCUUCCUGUUUUUUUUUCAAUACAUUGGGUUCUAAACUGACAACAGCACUUUUGUCAUACUCCUGCACAAUCCUUGUAAACAUUUGAAAUGGAUGCAAGAAACAAUAUCUGAUCUUUGAAAAAUAUUUGUGGGUGGUUUUUGUAUCGUCUUCACUAAGAUGUUGUGGGUGUCAUUUGGAAAUGUAUAAAAGUAUAAUUGUUCUGCUUCCUGUCAAUGUUACACACUGUGAUUGGAGGCUAUACAAACAAACACAUGUAAAAUAAAGAUACACACCAAACAACUGUGUCACGAUGCAACUGUCAACAUCGUUUACCUAUAGAAGUGGUUCUGACCCGGGGCAGA